GGAUUAGAUACCCUGGUAGUCCCAGCUGUAAACGGUGUGCACUUGGUGUGGGUGGAUUUGUCCCCAUCCGUGCCGGAGCUAACGCGUUAAGUGCACCGCCUGGGGAGUACGGCCGCAAGGCUAAAACUCAAAGGAAUUGACGGGGGCCCGCACAAGCGGUGGAGUAUGUGGCUUAAUUCGAAGCAACGCGAAGAACCUUACCAGGCCUUGACAUCCUGAUCAUAGAUCUGUGAAAGCAGAUUGUCAGUUCGGCUGGAUCAGUGACAGGUGCUGCAUGGCUGUCGUCAGCUCGUGCCG
Molecule: ribosomal RNA, 297 nt
Filed under: uncultured bacterium
Lineage: Bacteria
Description: partial 16S ribosomal RNA
Rfam family: Bacterial small subunit ribosomal RNA
Source: RNAcentral